AAUGAAUGAUGACAACUUGUUUCGGUCCCAUAUGAAAUAAUGAUUAGUUUUUCUCCCAGUGCUGACAUU
This is a small nucleolar RNA of Heteronotia binoei (common prickly gecko), 69 nucleotides long. RefSeq annotates it as small nucleolar RNA SNORD73. Lineage: Eukaryota; Metazoa; Chordata; Lepidosauria; Squamata; Gekkonidae. The transcript has a single exon. The record is from RefSeq and is a predicted model, not a curated record.